ACCUGCAGCCACACCACCUUGAAUAAGCCUGAUCUCAUCUGAUCUCAGAAGCUAAGCAACGUUGGGUUUGGUUAGUACUUGGAUGGGAUUCCACCUGGGAAUAUCAAGUGCUGUAGGCAUU
RNAcentral lists this ribosomal RNA (121 nucleotides) under Acipenser sinensis (Chinese sturgeon). Lineage: Eukaryota; Metazoa; Chordata; Actinopteri; Acipenseriformes; Acipenseridae. The record is from RNAcentral.